CCUACGGGAGGCAGCAGUGGGGGAUAUUGCACAAUGGGGGGAACCCUGAUGCAGCGACGCCGCGUGGGUGAAGGAGUGCUUCGGCAUGUAAAGCCCUAUCGGCAGGGAAGAAGGAGGACGGUACCUGACUAAGAAGCGCCGGCUAACUACGCGCCAGCAGCCGCGGUAAUACGGAGGGGGCAAGCGUUAUCCGGUUUUACUGGGUGUAAAGGGGGGGGAGACGGCAGCGUAAGCCAGGAGUGAAAGCCCGGGGCCCAACCCCGGGACUGCACUUGGAACUGCGCGGCUGGAGUGCAGGAGGGGCAGGCGGAAUUCCUGGUGUAGCGGUGAAAUGCGUAGAUAUCGGGAGGAACACCGGUGGCGAAGGCGGCCUGCUGGACUGCGACUGACGUUGAGGCCCGAAAGCGUGGGGAGCGAAAGGGAUUAGAUACCCGAGUAGUC
Molecule: ribosomal RNA, 441 nt
Filed under: uncultured bacterium
Lineage: Bacteria
Description: partial 16S ribosomal RNA
Rfam family: Bacterial small subunit ribosomal RNA
Source: RNAcentral